UGCCAGCCGCCGCGGUAAGACGUAGGUGGCGAGCGUUAUUCGGAUUUACUGGGCGUAAAGGGUCCGUAGGGGGUUAAUCAAGUUCGAUGUGAAAGCCAACGGCUCAACCGUUGAAUUGCAUUGAAAACUGGUUGACUAGAGUACAGGAGAGGAAAGCGGAAUUCUGAGUGUAGCGGUGGAAUGCGUAGAUAUUCAGAGGAACGCCGAAGGCGAAGGCAGCUUUCUGGACUGUUACUGACCCUGAGGGACGAAAGUUAGGGGAGCGAACAGGAUUAGAUA
RNAcentral lists this ribosomal RNA (279 nucleotides) under uncultured bacterium. Its description in RNAcentral is "partial 16S ribosomal RNA". It matches the Rfam family "Bacterial small subunit ribosomal RNA", at positions 506 to 784 of the family's 1533-position model. The record is from RNAcentral.